GGCGAACGGGUGAGUAAUGCAUCGGAACGUGCCCAUGUUGUGGGGGAUAACUACGCGAAAGCGUAGCUAAUACCGCAUAAGCCCUGAGGGGGAAAGCGGGGGAUUCUUCGGAACCUCGUGCGAUUGGAGCGGCCGAUGUCGGAUUAGCUAGUAGGUGAGGUAAAGGCUCACCUAGGCGACGACCCGUAGCGGGUCUGAGAGGAUGAUCCGCCACACUGGGACUGAGACACGGCCCAGACUCCUACGGGAGGCAGCAGUGGGGAAUUUUGGACAAUGGGCGCAAGCCUGAUCCAGCCAUGCCGCGUGAGUGAAGAAGGCCUUCGGGUUGUAAAGCUCUUUCGGCCGGGAAGAAAUCGGCGACUCUAACAUAGUCGCUGGAUGACGGUACCGGACUAAGAAGCACCGGCUAACUACGUGCCAGCAGCCGCGGUAAUACGUAGGGUGCGAGCGUUAAUCGGAAUUACUGGGCGUAAAGCGUGCGCAGGCGGUUUUGUAAGACAGAUGUGAAA
This 509-nucleotide ribosomal RNA is filed under the name uncultured Thauera sp. RNAcentral's name for it is "bacterial SSU rRNA". It matches the Rfam family "Bacterial small subunit ribosomal RNA", at positions 97 to 599 of the family's 1533-position model. Lineage: Bacteria; Pseudomonadati; Pseudomonadota; Betaproteobacteria; Rhodocyclales; Zoogloeaceae. The record is from RNAcentral.